Molecule: ribosomal RNA, 494 nt
Filed under: uncultured bacterium
Lineage: Bacteria
Description: partial 16S ribosomal RNA
Rfam family: Bacterial small subunit ribosomal RNA
Source: RNAcentral
GACGAACGCUGGCGGCGUGCUUAACACAUGCAAGUCGAACGGAAAGGCCUGUCCUUCCUUGUGUUGGACGGGUACUCGAGUGGCGAACGGGUGAGUAACACGUGAGUGAUCUGCCCCCAACUUGGGUAUAAGCCUGGGAAACUGGGUCUAAUUCCCGAUAGGACUGCAGGGUGGUGCCUGUGGUGGAAAACGAUUUUCUAGUGGUUGGGGAUGAGCUCGCGGCCUAUCAGCUUGUUGGUGGGGUAAUGGCCUACCAAGGCGGCGACGGGUAGCCGGCCUGAGAGGGUGGAUGGCCACAUUGGGACUGAGAUACGGCCCAGACUCCUACGGGAGGCAGCAGUGGGGAAUAUUGCACAAUGGGCGGAAGCCUGAUGCAGCGACGCCGCGUGGGGGAUGACGGCCUUCGGGUUGUAAACUCCUUUCGACCGCGAGGAAGCCGCCUGGUUGGAAGGGUGGUGACGGUAGUGGUAGAAGAAGCACCGGCUAACUACGUG